Non-coding RNA from Chelonoidis abingdonii (Abingdon island giant tortoise), 2426 nucleotides. The record is from RefSeq and is a predicted model, not a curated record. NCBI's taxonomy places the organism in Eukaryota, Metazoa, Chordata, Testudines, Testudinidae.
GGAGCGGACGGCGGGGCCCAGGCCCGAGGCCAGGGCGAUGGGCGCAGGAGGCUCCGCUCAGGUGCCGGUGGCGUUUGAGGAUGUCGCGGUCUAUUUCUCCCUGGAAGAGUGGGCAGCGUUGGCCAAAUGGCAGAGGGAGCUGUACCGGGACGUGAUGAAGGAGAAUUACGAGCUGGUGGCUUCAUUGGGGCAUCCUGCUGUCAAACCUGAGAUCAUCUGCCAGAUGGAGCGAGGGGAAGAGCCAUGUGUGGGGAAUCUCUGGGGCUGGAAAGACAGAAGCACAGCCCAGAACCCCUGCUUAGCAGAUGGUGAGAUGAAGGAUGACGAUGAGGAAGGUACUAGAACCCUGGAUCUUCCCAAGACAUCCCCAGGACAGACUGGAGGGGACCUCCACCAGCACUCAAGGAAAAAGCAAAGAUGCAAGAGUCAGAGCAAAUCACAAAAGCAGCGGAGAAAUGUCAUGCAAAAAAAACUCCUGCCCCUCCCCAGGCCCCAGAAAACACUGCUACAGAGACAGGAUGCAGAGCAGAGACAUGAAGACAGCCAGCAGGAUCAGACACACCUGACUGCCCAGCAGGGAGAGCCCACAGGGAGGAAACCAUUCACAUGCCCUGAAUGCGGAAGGAGCUGUGCGACGAAGGGCAACCUCAAAAUGCACCAGCGAGUGCACACGGGGGAGGGGCUGUUUCCCUGCAGCCAGUGUGAGAAAUGCUUUGCCACCAAGGGCAACCUCAAAAUGCACCAGCAGAUCCACAAGGGGGAGCGGCCCUUCGUGUGCACCGAGUCCGGCCAGGGCUUCAUUCAGAACAAAUUUCUGAAACUGCACAAGAGGCUGCACAAGGGAGAACAUCCGUUCCCCUGCCCUGAAUGCGGGAAACGCUUCAUCAGCAAGGCCAUUCUGAAGGUGCAUGGCAGGACACACAGCAGGGAGCGGCUGUUCCCGUGCACUGAGUGUGGGAAACGUUUCACCAGGAAAGACAUCCUCAAAAUGCACCAGAGGGUGCACACGGGGGAGCGGCCUUUCCAGUGUGCAGAGUGUGGGAAGAGCUUCACUCAGAAGGUGAAUCUCCUGACACACCAGCGGUGCCACACGGGGGAGCGCCCGUUCACCUGCUGUCAGUGCGGGAAGAGCUUUGCCCAGAAGGCCACACUCAGCACACACCAGAAAAGCCACGUGCGUGAGAGGCUCUUUGCAUGUGCUGAAUGCAAGGAGAGCUUUGUCUCCAACAGGGACCUCACGAUGCACCAGAGGCUCCACACCAGGGAGCGCUCAUACAUGUGCAGCCAGUGUGGGAAAUGCUUCACGCAGCCGGGCAACCUCCUGACGCACCAGCGAGUGCACACAGGGGAGCGGCCGUUCACCUGCACUCAGUGCGAGAAAAGCUUCACCACCAACGGCAACCUCAAAAUGCACCAGCGGAUCCACACGGGGGAGCGGCCCUUCGCAUGCACCGAGUGUGGAAAGGGCUUCACCGCCAAGGGGACGCUGCAGAAACACCAGAGAGUCCACACGAGGUGGAAGUAGCUCGCGUGUGCCAGCCCGAAUCUGGAAGGGCUUUCCCAGCCUGUACUCCAGCAAGACUCCCACUGACACAGGAAUGACCACGCUGGAUCAGACCCAAGGUCCCACCAGCCCAGCUGCUCUGAUAGUGAGCAGCACCAGAUGCAUUGGAGGAAGGUGUAAGAAUUGCACACUAGGCAAAUGUAGGAUAAUCUGCCCCUCUACUCCUGGCCAAUAUUAGGUCUCCUCCUAAUCAUUAGAAAGUUGCUUAAACCCUGAAGUACAAGGUUUAAUAUCCCUUCAAAAUAUCUGUUAGCAUUAAUUAUAACUCUGGAUAUCUUUGUUCAAUAAAUGUUUUUAACCUUUUCUAAAUUCUUGCCCUUAACAGCGUCCUGCAGUAAUGAGUUCCACAGUUUAAUUGCACCCUGUGUGAAAGUCUUUCCUUUUUAUCAGUUUUCAAUUUGCCACUUUUUAAUUCCUUUGAAUGUCCCUUUUAUGUUAUGACAAAGGGAGAACAGAACUCUGUGCAGCUAGCAACCCAGCACACCACCAUGGAACUGCCCACAAAGAGCACAAGACUCGCUUUGUAGCAAAGGCACCUAGCCAGGUUUAUUGUCGACGAAGCAUGGUCCUAGCUCCCUGGAUCAGUGUCUACAGGUACACUAGCGCAUGUAUGCCCAUAACAGUGGACCAGCUCAGUGAGCGGCAGGACUUUCCAUUCCCCCCUCGCCUGGCCAAAGACACCCCUUCUGUGACCCUUCUUUUAUAUGCUGAUACAAACCAGUUACGUAUUGCCCCUCCGACAUGGUUAGUGACUACGCUUUACCUUGUGCAUCAGACAUUUCUGCCUGUCAUCCUGUCCUUCUCUUUAGAAGGGGAUCAGUGUGUCCUUGUAUCAUCUUAAGGGAGUGCGUUUACACCACAA